This is a non-coding RNA of Gossypium arboreum, 128 nucleotides long. Lineage: Eukaryota; Viridiplantae; Streptophyta; Magnoliopsida; Malvales; Malvaceae. The record is from Rfam.
UGUUAAAAAUUUCAUUCAUUUAUUCUGUUAAAAACUGACGUGGCUGACAGAAUAACAAAAAAGUGUGUACCUUAUACUGGUGUACAAGAACUGGUUUUUAACAGUAGAAUUGAAUGAAAUUUUUUACA